GGGAAACGGAUGGAGGGGCCUGCCACAGGCCCCGUAUCAAACUUUUGGGGCC
Non-coding RNA from Fukomys damarensis (Damara mole-rat), 52 nucleotides. The record is from Rfam. NCBI's taxonomy places the organism in Eukaryota, Metazoa, Chordata, Mammalia, Rodentia, Bathyergidae.